Gambusia affinis (western mosquitofish) is the source of this 2060-nucleotide RNA transcript. It is a transcript of the gene named aurora kinase A, with no coding region annotated. The record is from RefSeq and is a predicted model, not a curated record. The transcript is spliced from 11 exons. Lineage: Eukaryota; Metazoa; Chordata; Actinopteri; Cyprinodontiformes; Poeciliidae.
UUUAUUUAAAGGUUUGGAACCGAGGGACAUUUGAAAUCAAACAGGCUGCGUUUAAACGACGUGUUCUCUCUCAGCUACGAUUUGCGUUUAGUGUUUUGUGGAUUUAGCUCUUUGGCUAGUUUUUCCUCUCUAUAACACAAAUUACAAAGGCUCUUAUUUUAUUUUGUUAGUAAAGCUUAUCAUAUUUUAGCGUUCCUUUACGUGUUCCUUGUUUAUGUAGCUCAAACAGAAGCUACCGUUAGCUGGUCGAUGUAGCUGCUAAGUAGCCUGGUAGGGUUACCUGGUUUAAAGCUGUUUUUAUUCUGCAUAAUAGCCUGUUGCGGUUGCUUUUGGAGACUGUGCAAUAAUACAUUUAGAUCAUGGACUCUUCCGCCUCGUUCAAAGUGGUAAAGGGCACGAAACCCCAAAGGCCAGAAUUAAUGUCAAACAGCAAUGGACCGAAGCGGGUUCCUGUGUCUCACCAUUCACAAGCCAUUCAGAAGUCUGUAGUCACACCGACUCAGCAUCAGCGGGUUCUGGGCAUGUCGAAUGGGCCGCAGCGUAUCCAGCGACCCGUUAGCCAGCAGAACCCAGUACCUCAUGUCUCUGUAGCUGUCAAGCACCCUCUUCCUGCUGACCAGAAUGUAAACCCAGCCACUAUGAAACUAACUCCAGCACCACAGCCAAAACCCGUUUCCCAGCAUAACCAACCAAAGACGCAUGUGCCAGCUGGCCACUCGGACUCGACCAAGCCUCCGUCGGAACCAGCAAAGCAGGAGAAGCCGCAGACCAAACCUGCAAAGGACAGUCAGGCCUCGUCAUCAAAGAAACCAUGGAGCCUGGAAAAUUUUGACAUUGGCCGUCCUUUGGGAAAGGGCAAGUUUGGCAACGUCUACCUGGCUAGAGAGCGCCAGACCAAAUUCAUCUUGGCCCUGAAGGUUCUCUUCAAGAAGCAGUUGGAGAAGGCUGGGGUAGAGCACCAGCUGAGGAGAGAAGUCGAGAUCCAGUCUCAUCUGAGACAUCCCAACAUCCUUCGCCUCUAUGGCUAUUUCCAUGAUGCUUCUCGUGUGUAUCUCAUCCUUGAAUAUGCACCCAGAGGAGAGCUGUAUGGCGAGCUGCAGCGCUGUGGGAGUUUCUCUGAGGACAGAACUGCAACAUACAUCAUGGAGCUGGCAGAUGCGCUCCACUACUGUCAUACCAAGAAUGUGAUUCACAGAGACAUCAAACCAGAGAACCUGUUGCUGGGAGGUAACGGGGAACUGAAGAUUGCUGAUUUUGGUUGGUCUGUACACACUCCAUCUUCCAGGAGGUCCACCCUGUGUGGAACACUAGACUACCUUCCCCCAGAGAUGAUCGAAGGUAAAACUCAUGAUGAGAAGGUGGACCUGUGGAGUCUGGGGGUCCUUUGCUAUGAGUUUCUUGUUGGAAAACCUCCAUUUGAAGCAAAAACUCAUGAUGAAACCUACCGUAGGAUUUCAAGGGUGGAGUACAGUUACCCUCCACAUACUUCCAUUGGUGCCGGAGCUAAAGACUUGGUGGCCAAGCUGUUGAAGCACAACCCCAUGCAGAGGUUGCCCAUUGAGGGAGUCCUCUCCCACCCUUGGGUGCUCCACUGCUCAACCAAGAAGCCCACAACUCUGAAUGGCCUUGUAGUCUCCAGGACUUGCUCUUGCUGAUCAAAUUCAAGUAUAGUUGUAACCAGAAGCACCCAGCGGAGGGCGCCAGACAACCACUGAAACUCAGCUCUUUAAUCUGCAAGAUGGAGCCCAUCUGGUCGUUAGAUUCGUUUGCAGUUGCCGUGAUUUCCUGACAUCUACAAAUGAAGCCAACCGGAAAUAAAUGAACGGCUCGUCCAGAUGUUACCCGCGUGCUCAGGAGGGAAUCAACAGAGUGAAUUAAAAGGAAGGCCGGAUGCCCGCCCGCAGCAGAAAACUGUUCAAGCGCAAACAUGCUUGCUCUUAAGUUCUCCAAAGACACGAAUGUAGAGUGAAAAGACCAAUUUGCGGCCCGAGUCAAAAUAAACUUAGAAACUCUUUUUCAAAAAUCUAAUUAAAAGAAAAAUAUAUGACUCCUACCAUCAC